RNAcentral lists this ribosomal RNA (864 nucleotides) under uncultured Methanocella sp. RNAcentral describes it as "bacterial SSU rRNA". It matches the Rfam family "Archaeal small subunit ribosomal RNA", at positions 1 to 872 of the family's 1478-position model. The record is from RNAcentral. Lineage: Archaea; Methanobacteriati; Methanobacteriota; Methanomicrobia; Methanocellales; Methanocellaceae.
UUCCGGUUGAUCCUGCCAGAGGUCACUGCUAUCGGUGUCCGAUUAAGCCAUGCGAGUUGAGAGGUGUAAGACCUCGGCAGACUGCUCAGUAACACGUGGAUAACCUGCCCAAGGGUCCGGGAUAACCCCGGGAAACUGGGGAUAAUGCCGGAUGGGUCACCAGUGCUGGAAUGCUUGGUGGUCGAAAGGUGACGCCUUUGGAUGGGUCUGCGGCGGAUUAGGUUGACGCCGGUGUAACGUACCGGCGUGCCUGUAAUCCGUACGGGUUGUGGGAGCAAGAGCCCGGAGAUGGAUUCUGAGACACGAAUCCAGGCCCUACGGGGCGCAGCAGGCGCGAAAACUCUACAAUGCAGGCAACUGCGAUAGGGGGACAUCGAGUGGCAUCCACCUUGGGUGUCUGUCCAACCGUCUAAAAAACGGUUGUUAGCAAGGGCCGGGCAAGACCGGUGCCAGCCGCCGCGGUAAUACCGGCGGCUCGAGUGGUGGCCGAUAUUAUUGAGUCUAAAGGGUCCGUAGCCGGCUUUGCAAGUCCCCUGGGAAAUCCGGCGGCUUAACCGUUGGGCUUUCAUGGGAUACUACAUUGCUUGGGACUGGGAGAGGUAGGAGGUACUCGGGGGGUAGGGGUGAAAUCCUGUAAUCCUCCGGGGACCACCGGUGGCGAAGGCGUCCUACCAGAACAGGUCCGACGGUGAGGGACGAAAGCUAGGGGCACGAACCGGAUUAGAUACCCGGGUAGUCCUAGCCGUAAACGAUGCCCGCUAGGUGUCACGACGGUCGUGAAUCGUCGUGGUGCCGUAGGGAAGCCGCGAAGCGGGCCACUUGGGAAGUACGGCCGCAAGGCUGAAACUUAAAGGAAUUGGCGGG